UGGUGAGGUAGAGGCGCAACGUUUAACGGUCCUUAGCGGAGUUUGAGAAGAUGAUGAUUCUAUGGAGAAGGAAAUGUUGCCGAAGUGUGGAAUGGCUCUCACCAUUUCAUGCUGGGUCUGCAGUUAAUAGCUGCAGGACUGUCACACUGGAUUUCCCGAUCCAUUGUGAAGUGCUAUCUCAUCC
This 184-nucleotide non-coding RNA is filed under the name Planococcus glaciei. RNAcentral describes it as "Planomicrobium glaciei Lysine sequence". It matches the Rfam family "Lysine riboswitch aptamer". Rfam says of the family: Riboswitches are metabolite binding domains within certain messenger RNAs that serve as precision sensors for their corresponding targets. Allosteric rearrangement of mRNA structure is mediated by ligand binding, and this results in modulation of gene expression. This family includes riboswitches that sense lysine in a number of genes involved in lysine metabolism, including lysC. Lineage: Bacteria; Bacillati; Bacillota; Bacilli; Caryophanales; Caryophanaceae. The record is from RNAcentral.